Molecule: ribosomal RNA, 252 nt
Filed under: uncultured bacterium
Lineage: Bacteria
Description: partial 16S ribosomal RNA
Rfam family: Bacterial small subunit ribosomal RNA
Source: RNAcentral
GACGAAGGAUGCAAGCGUUAUCCGGAUUCAUUGGGUUUAAAGGGAGCGUAGGUGGCCUUAUAAGUCAGUGGUGAAAUCUCUCGGCUUAACCGAGAAAUUGCCAUUGAUACUGUAGGGCUUGAGUACAGUUGCUGUGGGCGGAAUAUGACAUGUAGUGGUGAAAUACAUAGAGAUGUCAUAGAACACCGAUUGCGAAGGCAGCUCACAAAACUGUAACUGACACUGAGGCUCGAAGUGCGGGGAUCAAACAGG